Sorex araneus (European shrew) is the source of this 142-nucleotide small nucleolar RNA. The record is from RefSeq and is a predicted model, not a curated record. NCBI's taxonomy places the organism in Eukaryota, Metazoa, Chordata, Mammalia, Eulipotyphla, Soricidae.
GACCUCCCGGGAUCGCGUCUGGAGAGUGGCUCGUAUUCUGCCAGCUUCGGAGACGGGAGGGAGAGCAAGCCCGGCAGAGGAAUACCCAUUCCAGCCCCAGCUUGCUCCAUAGCUGGCGGUUGGAAGACUCUCUGCAACAGUG